Molecule: small RNA, 566 nt
Filed under: Pongo abelii (Sumatran orangutan)
Lineage: Eukaryota; Metazoa; Chordata; Mammalia; Primates; Hominidae
Description: retained intron
Source: RNAcentral
UGACCCUAUGGAAGCAGAAGAAGCUGAGGAUGAAGAAGAUGAUAGGGAUGAGGAAGAAAUGACCAAACGAGAUGACAAAAGAGAUAUCAACAGAUACUGCAAGGAGAGGCCCUCUAAAGAUAAGGAAAAAGAAAAGACUCAAAUGAUCACAAUUAACAGAGAUCUGUUAAUGGCUUUUGUUUAUUUUGAUCAAAGUCAUUGUGGUUACCUUCUUGAAAAGGAUUUGGAAGAAAUACUUUAUACUCUUGGACUACAUCUUUCUCGGGCUCAGGUAAUCUAUCUUGUGAAUAUUUAAAAGGAAAACAUUUUUUAAAAGUUACCUUUUCCAGUGAAAAGUUAAUAGAACCUCUGUUGACUUUUUGAUAUAUUAAAGCAAUAUAAGGGCCAGGCGUGGUGGCUCACACCUACAAUCCCAGCAGGUUGGGAGGCUGAGGCAGGCAGAUCAGUUGAGGCCAGGAGUUUAAGACCAGCUUGGCCAACAUGGCGUAGCUCCGUCUCUACUAAAAAUACUAAAAUUAGCUGGGUGUGGUGGCACGCACCUGUAAUCCCAGCUACUCGGGAAGCUG